Amphiprion ocellaris (clown anemonefish) is the source of this 203-nucleotide small nucleolar RNA. Its record names the gene SNORA74. It matches the Rfam family "Small nucleolar RNA SNORA74". From Rfam's summary of the family: U19 belongs to the H/ACA class of snoRNAs. snoRNAs bind a number of proteins (including dyskerin, Gar1p and Nop10p in the case of the H/ACA class) to form snoRNP complexes. The record is from Ensembl. NCBI's taxonomy places the organism in Eukaryota, Metazoa, Chordata, Actinopteri, Pomacentridae.
CCCAGCUCUCAGUCAGCUGACCAGGCGAUGCGUGUCUGGAUCAGUGUUACGGAGCUGGUAGAGGAAGUCUCUGCACUUUGUCUCCGCUGUGCAGGUUCUGUUUUAGAAUCUGUUCCUGCUGAGCUGCUGCAGAGGGCGGCCCAACAAGAGAGUGGCCUGUCCUGAUCCAACAGCAGGAUGGGCCUAGUGCCGGGCUGCACACU